UACCAGCCCCCUGAGUGGUAGGGACGAUUAUUUGGCCUAAAGCGUCCGUAGCCGGUUUAGUAAGUCUUCCGUGAAAUCCAACGACUCAAUCGUUGGGCGUGCGGAGGAUACUGCUAGACUAGAGGGUGGGAGAGGUCGACGGUAGUCCAGGGGUAGGGGUGAAAUCCUAUAAUCCCUGGAGGACCACCAGUGGCGUAGGCGGUCGACUAGAACAUGCCUGACGGUGAUGGACGAAAGCUGGGGGAGCGAACCGGAUUAGAUACCCGGGUAGUCCCAGCCGUAAACGAUGCGGGCUAGGUGUUGGGGAAGCCACGAGCUUCUCCAGUGCCGCAGAGAAGUCGUUAAGCCCGCCGCCUGGGGAGUACGAUCGCAAGAUUGAAACUUAAAGGAAUUGGCGGGGGAGCACCACAAGGGGUGAAGGCUGCGGUUCAAUUGGAGUCAACGCCGGGAACCUUACUGGGGCUGACAGCAGAGUGAAGGUCAGACUAAAGAUCUUGCCAGACAAGCUGAGAGGUGGUGCAUGGCCGUCGACAGUUCGUGCCGUGAGGUGUCCUGUUAAGUCAGGCAACGAACGAGACCCCCACUGUUAGUUGCCAACGAGUUCCAACGGACCGUCGGGUACACUAACGGGACUGCCACUGAUAAGGUGGAGGAAGGAGGGGGCAACGGCAGGUCAGUAUGCCCCGAAUGCCCCAGGCCACACGCGGCCUGCAAUGGUAGGAACAGAGGGUUUCAACCCUGAAAAGGGAAGGUAAUCCCUAAACCCUAUCUCAGUUGGGACUGAGGGCUGAAACUCGCCCUCAUGAACAUGGAAUCCCUAGUAACCGCGUGUCAUCAUCGCGCGGUGAAUACGUCCCCGCUCCU
This 864-nucleotide ribosomal RNA is filed under the name uncultured archaeon. Its description in RNAcentral is "SSU rRNA". It matches the Rfam family "Archaeal small subunit ribosomal RNA", at positions 474 to 1337 of the family's 1478-position model. The record is from RNAcentral.